UUUCACAAGGAACUCUAUAAAAAAUUAAUGAUACUUUCUUUCCUUUGAGAUGUCAAAGGAAUAUUUAUACCCCCGCUUUAAAAAAGGGGGGGGUAUACUGUUUUACCUCUGUCUGUCAGUCCGUCCGUCAGUCCGUCCGUCAGUCAGUCAGUCCGUCCCAUGAAACUUUCGUCACAUUUUUCUCAGGAACUACGCAUCCACCCUUUCUGUAAUUUGGUAUCAACAUUUAUAUAUGUCAGCCACACCGUGUGAUGCGUUUUCAGAUUCAUCACUUGACAACUUCCUGUUUACCGAACACUUGUCUGAUUUUACACAUGAUAGCCAAGUUGAAAAUUUUCGUCACAUUUCUCUCAGGAACUACAAUACAAGGAUUUCUGAAAUUUGGUUUCAGGAUUUAUAUUAGUCAGCUAUACCGUGUGAUGCGUUUUCAGAUUCAUCACUCGACAACUUCCUGUUUACCGAACACUUGUAUGAUUUUACACAUGAUAGCCAAGUUGAAAUUUUCGUCACAUUUUUCUCAGGAACUACAAUACAAGGAUUUCUGAAAUUUGGUUUCAGGAUUUAUAUAAGUCAGCUAUACCGUGUGAUGCGUUUUCAGAUUCAUCACUCGACUACUUCCUGUUUACCGAACACUUGUAUGAUUUUACACAUGAUAACCAAGUUAAAAAUUUUCGUCACAUUUUUCUCAGGAACUACAAUACAAGGAUUUUUGAAAUUUGGUUUCAGGAUUUUUAUAAGUCAGCUAUACCGUGUGAUGCGUUUUCAGAUUCAUCACUCGACAACUUCCUGUUUACCGAACACUUGCAUAUUUUUACACUAUUAAUAUUAUCCACUUGCGGCGGGGGUAUCAUCAGUGAGCAGUAGCUCGCAGUUUCACUUGUUUUGCCAGAAUUACU
This 896-nucleotide long non-coding RNA is filed under the name Mytilus galloprovincialis (Mediterranean mussel). The record is from RNAcentral. Lineage: Eukaryota; Metazoa; Mollusca; Bivalvia; Mytilida; Mytilidae.